AUAACGUUCGGAAACGGACGCUAAUACCGCAUACGUCCUACGGGAGAAAGCAGGGGACCUUCGGGCCUUGCGCUAUCAGAUGAGCCUAGGUCGGAUUAGCUAGUUGGUGAGGUAAUGGCUCACCAAGGCGACGAUCCGUAACUGGUCUGAGAGGAUGAUCAGUCACACUGGAACUGAGACACGGUCCAGACUCCUACGGGAGGCAGCAGUGGGGAAUAUUGGACAAUGGGNNAAAGCCUGAUCCAGCCAUGCCGCGUGUGUGAAGAAGGUCUUCGGAUUGUAAAGCACUUUAAGUUGGGAGGAAGGGCAUUAACCUAAUACGUUAGUGUUUUGACGUUACCGACAGAAUAAGCACCGGCUAA
RNAcentral lists this ribosomal RNA (362 nucleotides) under unidentified bacterium PIA-1. Its description in RNAcentral is "bacterial SSU rRNA". It matches the Rfam family "Bacterial small subunit ribosomal RNA", at positions 143 to 500 of the family's 1533-position model. The record is from RNAcentral.